This is a long non-coding RNA of Salvelinus fontinalis (brook trout), 3442 nucleotides long. RefSeq lists it as uncharacterized. Lineage: Eukaryota; Metazoa; Chordata; Actinopteri; Salmoniformes; Salmonidae. The transcript is spliced from 4 exons. The record is from RefSeq and is a predicted model, not a curated record.
GUAGAGAAUUCGUUCUGCACGCAUAGAAGCAGCUAAAAACAACGCUACGGUGCAGGUCUUUCAAUGUAGUUAUUUCUUGUCACGCUCCAGCCUUGGAAAAUGUUUGUUUAUCUGGCAGUGUGAAACACUACUGAAUAGAGACCUACUCCUUCGUUGAGCAGCUGGUUGAGAAGUUCAUCAUCCCCAUGUUACGGGUGUCUUUUCAUCGUCUCAACCGGAGGAUUCACCAUGAAACUGACAGAGAACAGGGAGUCCAUUGACAGAGGUCUUACAGCUCUGAGGAGAGAGGUAUCAGGAGGAGACACCUUCAUGGAUGUUGGCCUGGAGAAGGUAACACUUACCUCAGAUACAUUGCCCCUCUGUGUUUUGCAUUGGUAUGUCGGUCCAUAUAUACAGAUAUCUCUAUAUAUGACUAUGUAUAGGCUGAUAUUGAGGAAAUAUGUUACCUGUUUUUAAAGGGACAGCCAGUGUGAUCAUUGUACUGACCGAUGGAGAGCUGAAUAAGUGGCAGUUUGAUACUGCACAACGAGAGAUGAGUACGCAAAAUCCACUUGCCUCUUAAAUGUCGCUGGAUUGUUUGUUUUCGUGUUACUCUGGCUCCCACUCUUACUUGGGCCAUUCAUUUUUUGACAUUGACGUAACGACAGCGGAAACAGUUCUACUGACCUGUCAAACACACUCCGGUUAUGGCUGAAAUGGACUCAAUGGAAUACAUUGGCUUAACAUUGCAUCUAUAAGAACGCCAAUGCUUAAUUUGAGAUGUAUUGCACCAUCUCGACACAUCACAAGAAAUAGCUUUAUUUUAGUGGGUGUUGAUUUUGGGUGUAAUCUUUCUUAUAAUAAAGUUGAAAUGUUUACAAAUGCCCUGAAAAGAAAGCAACUUUCAAAUCAACAUUCGGAUUAUAGUGAUAUUAUGUCUGAUCUUGCAAACAAUGUGGGUAUCCUUCUCUUGACACACUUGUUAUAUUAUGCAAGAGAACAUGACAACAGUAAUUAAUGAGGCAGUCUAGACAGUGGCGGUGAGGGCAGAUAGGCCUAGACAGACCACGUUUUGGGUGGUUGUAGCCCUUUUUAACCCAUUUAUGUUUGCAAAUAUGCCCAGUGUGUGUGUACGCAAAUGUGGCACAUUUGAAAUAAAAAUAAUUAUUAUCUUAAGUGACUUUUUAGUCAAAGUAUGAAAAACAUACUUAAUAUACUAAAAAGGUAUAUUUGAGUGCAUUAUAAGACAAAGUGAACUUUUACAAUAAAUGAAAUGCCUGAACUCCAUUCAUUAUUUGUGCCAGUACAAUAUUUUAUGUGCUAUAAUUCAGUCAACAUUUAAAUGUUUAAAAUCCUUCAGAAGGUUUGAAGUUGCUUCAUUCAUGGUUGUAUAUAUUUUUUUCCUUUUAACAAUUCCGAUGACUGUUGCUAAUCCUACUUUAAAUUCAAAGAUGGCGCUAAACAGAUCAGAGCUGUGUGUGUUCUCUCCAUGCAGGCACAGAGGGCACGGACGCUUGCAGCCAUAGUUUACUGUGUUGGAGUCAGAGUUCAACGAGACGCAGAACACACACACACAAGAAAUAGCUGUAUUUUAGUGGGUGUUGAUUUUGGGUGCAAUCUUUUUUAUAAUAAAGUUGAAAUGUUUACAAAUGCCCUGAAAAGAAAGCAACUUUCAAAUCAACAUUCGGACAAUGCAUGUUUUCUGUGAUUAUCAGCAAUAAAAUAAGUAUCUCCUGUGUGUGUUCUGUAGCUGGCCACUAGCAGACACCCUGGAGCAUGUAUUUCCUGUCUGUUUCCAAGCCCUAUCGACUCGGUACGUAUGGUAUUAAUGCCAAAAAAUAAUGGAAGGUCUUUGUUACUUCAAUUAAUACAAUACAUACAGAAAUGGUGCAGUGGUCCUUGUUUAAAAUUCAUCCAUAGAACAAGUGUAUCUAUCAAGUCAUAGCUAUCUAACUUUUUAACCAUGUCUUUUCAUAGUAAAUAAGUCCUAUGUAUAGGCCUACAAUACGUCUACCUGCGUAAUGACCCACUGUCUUCUGUGUUUUCUGCAUUGAGAUUCUAGCUGCUGAACCGUCCAGUGUGUGCAAGAAGUAACACUUCCUUCCAUUUCAAAUGCCUAUUGAGCAAUGUGCAAUGCAUCUUUUUCUGUAAAACUGUGCCUCUUAGGAAAGAUUUUAAAGAACCAGAUUAAGUCAAUUUGUGGACUAAAAUAAAGGGUUAUUUUGAUCAAACCCAUUCAUCAAAUCUACCAUUUCUGUUUAUGGUAUUUCGUCAGACAGAUACCGUGACAGUGAAUGUGUUCUGGUUCAGCUGAGUAGUCAUCAGAGUACAUUAUCAUAAUACGGUGUGAGGUGAGCGCACGGCCGGCCAUGAUUACCUCAGAGAGAGAGAGAGACAGAGAGCAUAUUGUCCUGCACAGUCCUGGGAAAUGACCAUGUGUGUGCAGUGCCUUCAGAAAGUAUUCAUACCCCUUUACUUUUCCCACAUUUUGUUAUUACAAAGUGGGAUCAAAAUGGAUUUAAUUGUCAUUUUUUGUCAAUGAUCUACACAAAAUACCCUAAUGUCAAAGUGGGAAAAAAUUGAUAUUUUUGUAAUGGAAAAUAAAAAGCUUUUUUUGAUUAGAUAAGUAUUCAACCCACUGAGUCGAUAUGUUAUACAACAGGUGGUUCUAAUGCUGAUUGGUUAGAACCGCAUUCCAGCCGGUGUCUAUUCCACAAGUUACCACCGGCUAAAUCUAUAACGUGAAAAUGCCUAUUUACUCUGUUCCAUCUGACUGUGCAAUCCACUGUUUCAUUAGACCAGCCAGGCAAUUUAUGAACUUGAUCUCCACGAUAAAAAGCAUCUUUAUUUAUUUUUAUUUAACUAGGAAAGUAAGUUAAGAACAAAUUCUUAUUUACAAUGAUGGCCUACCAAAAGGCCUCCUGUGGGAACGGGGGCUGGGAUUAAAAAUAUAAAUAUAGGACAAAACACACAUCAGAAACAACACUACAUAAAUAGAUACCUAAGAUAAAACACAGCAUGGUAGCAACACAACAUGACAACAUGGUAGCAACACCACAUGGCAACAGCACAAAACAUGGUACAAACAUUAUUGGGCACAGACAACCGUACAAAGGGCAAGAAGGUAGAGACAACAAUACAUCACGCAAAGCAGCCACAACGGUCAGUAAGUGUCCAUGAUUGUCACGCCCUGACCGUAGAGAUCCUUUUUAUGUCUCUAUUUUGGUUGGACAGGGUGUGAGUUUGGGUGGGCAUUCUAUGUCUGGUGUUCUAUGUUGUCUAUUUCUUUGUGUUUGGCCGUGUGUGGUUCUCAAUCAGAGGCAGCUGUCUAUCGUUGUCUCUGAUUGAGAACCAUAUUUAGGUAGCCUGUUUUCCCACUUUGAAUUGUGGGUGAUUAUUUUCUGUUUAGUGUUUUUUGUCACCUUACAGAACUGUUCGUUUGUCGUGUUGUUGUUUUGUUAGA